RNAcentral lists this ribosomal RNA (425 nucleotides) under uncultured Diversisporaceae. Its description in RNAcentral is "SSU rRNA". It matches the Rfam family "Eukaryotic small subunit ribosomal RNA", at positions 459 to 886 of the family's 1831-position model. Lineage: Eukaryota; Fungi; Glomeromycota; Glomeromycetes; Diversisporales. The record is from RNAcentral.
GGGAGGUAGUGACAAUAAAUAACAAUACGGGGCUCAUUUGGGUCUCGUAAUUGGAAUGAGUACAAUUUAAAUCUCUUAACGAGGAACAAUUGGAGGGCAAGUCUGGUGCCAGCAGCCGCGGUAAUUCCAGCUCCAAUAGCGUAUAUUAAAGUUGUUGCAGUUAAAAAGCUCGUAGUUGAACUUCGGGGUCUACCCAUUGGUCAGGCUUAAUUGUCUGCACUGGUGAGAUGGAUCUCUACCUUCUGAGGAACUUUCAUGCCAUUUAUUUGGUGUGGUUGGAAAUCAGGACUGUUACUUUGAAAAAAUUAGAGUGUUUAAAGCAGACUAUCGUCUGAAUACAUUAGCAUGGAAUAAUGAAAUAGGACGGACUGAUUCUAUUUCGUUGGUUUCUAGGAUCACCGUAAUGAUUAAUAGGGAUAGUUGGG